CGUCACCGCUCGGUUUGAACCGCCCUCCACACGUCUCGCGUACGCAAUCGCGUGUGGGCGUUGUCAGCCAGUCGGAAACCAGCCUUAGACGGUGGCCCCGUGGGGACAUGCGCCGCGAAGCUUCCUAGCUUCGUUCUGCGCGCUGCUUACAGCCUAGGUUUGACUCCGUAAGUCGAUAGGCCCUCAAAAUGUAAAGCAUAGGAACGAGAGUUGUGCAUAGGAACCAGAGUUGUGAGGCUGCGCACUGCGCUGUGACGAUUUAAAGGAAAGAAAGAAAAAAGGGUGGAGAGAAGUGGGAUAAAGAUGAGCCCUCCCUUGGAAGGCUUGUUGAGUGAAUAAUAUGGAAAUGGCGCACCGGGCGUGGGCAACAGCGAGCGUGAACCAAAGGAAGCGGGAAAUGCGUUGCUUGAGGAAUGGGAGUAGCCUCUGCGCUGUGACGCUGGAAAGAGCUGUUCUCUGGCUUGCCGAUGCCCAUUUGCUUCACCGCACAACUGAGGUUCAGCGAGUGGGAUAGCUCGCCCACGUUAACACUGUGGUGCCUGGAUUAGGACCCACAGGACUCCAACCCAGCACUGUGCAAGAGCCAGGGAUACCUCCUGGGGCUUCUGUAUCCCCCUCACUUGCCACUGCCAGUUUGAGGCUCCUGCUCUACCAUCUUCCCUUACAGAGCUGCUGCUCUGGAGUUGUACUGUGCGGAUUACUGCCCUUCCUUUUGUGGACUUUUGUCUUCAGGGUUUAUCUGAGCUGGGGGUUGCCUGUCCAUCUCUUUCUGGAAGCUUGACACCUCCCCCCCCCCCAAAGGAUUACCAGCUUAGGAGAUGCGGUUUUUAUCCUCUCACGUGUGAGCAGGGUUUUUUGUUUGUUUGCUUGUUUAUUAUUAUUUUCACAUAGCUAGUGAUUCACAGCCUCUGGGCAGCAUAGUCAGAGAACCUGGGCCUCCUGACCAGCACCAGCCUAAACCCCACUUUAAAGUCCACAACAAGCAGAUACUAGAAAAGGGAAAGUAGCACAUUAUGUUUGCUAAUAAUUAUAAUUUGAACAAUUUAGCUGGGCAUGGUGAUACAUGCCAAUAAUCUCAGCACUAGGGAGGCAGAGGCAGGCUGUUCUCAGUGGGUUCAAGGCCAGCCUGGUCUACAAAGAGAGUUCCAGGACAGCCAGAGCUGUUACACCGAGAAAUCCUGUCUAAAAAACAAAACCAAAAAGGCAAAACAAAAAAGACAACUUUCUCUGUCUUGGGGUUUUGUUUCCUCAUAUGUUCAUCUCAGUUACUUAUUAAAUUGGUUUUUUUUGUUAAAUAAUAGAAGCUUUUUGAAUGUUUAUGCAUUAGCAACAAUGUUUUUCUUUGCCAUGUGUGCUAUUUUUUUUUU
This is a long non-coding RNA of Apodemus sylvaticus (European woodmouse), 1367 nucleotides long. RefSeq lists it as uncharacterized. NCBI's taxonomy places the organism in Eukaryota, Metazoa, Chordata, Mammalia, Rodentia, Muridae. The transcript has 2 exons. The record is from RefSeq and is a predicted model, not a curated record.